UGACCUCAAAUCAGGUAGGACUACCCGCUGAACUUAAGCAUAUCAAUAAGCGGAGGAAAAGAAACUAACAAGGAUUCCCCUAGUAACUGCGAGUGAAGCGGGAAAAGCUCAAAUUUUGAAUCUGGCGGUCUUUGCAGACCGUCCGAGUUGUAAUCUAGAGAAGCGUCUUCCGCGCUGGA
This 179-nucleotide ribosomal RNA is filed under the name Boletus sp. 1 AF-2013. RNAcentral's name for it is "partial 28S ribosomal RNA". It matches the Rfam family "Eukaryotic large subunit ribosomal RNA", at positions 1 to 174 of the family's 3401-position model. Lineage: Eukaryota; Fungi; Basidiomycota; Agaricomycetes; Boletales; Boletaceae. The record is from RNAcentral.